AGAGUUUGAUCCUGGCUCAGAGCGAACGGCGGCAGGCCUAACACAUGCAAGUCGAACGGGCCCUUCGGGGUCAGUGGCAGACGGGUGAGUAACGCGUGGGAACGUGCCCAUCGGUUCGGAAUAACCCAGGGAAACUUGGGUUAAUACCGGAUACGUCCUUUUUGGAGAAAGAUUUAUCGCCGAUGGAUCGGCCCGCGUCUGAUUAGCUAGUUGGUGGGGUAAUGGCCCACCAAGGCGACGAUCAGUAGCUGGUCUGAGAGGAUGAUCAGCCACACUGGGACUGAGACACGGCCCAGACUCCUACGGGAGGCAGCAGUGGGGAAUAUUGGACAAUGGGCGCAAGCCUGAUCCAGCCAUGCCGCGUGAGUGAUGAAGGCCCUAGGGUUGUAAAGCUCUUUCACCCCACGACGAUAAUGACGGUAGUGGGAGAAGAAGCCCCGGCUACUUCGUGCCAGCAGCCGCGGUAAUACGAAGGGGGCUAGCGUUGCUCGGAAUCACUGGGCGUAAAGGGCGCGUAGGCGGACCUUUAAGUCAGGGGUGAAAGCCUGUGGCUCAACCACAGAAUUGCCUUUGAUACUGAGGGUCUCGAGACCGGAAGAGGUUGGUGGAACUGCGAGUGUAGAGGUGAAAUUCGUAGAUAUUCGCAAGAACACCAGUGGCGAAGGCGGCCAACUGGUCCGGUUCUGNNGCUGAGGCGCGAAAGCGUGGGGAGCAAACAGGAUUAGAUACCCUAGUAGUCC
RNAcentral lists this ribosomal RNA (740 nucleotides) under uncultured bacterium. RNAcentral's name for it is "bacterial SSU rRNA". It matches the Rfam family "Bacterial small subunit ribosomal RNA", at positions 8 to 796 of the family's 1533-position model. The record is from RNAcentral.